AGAGUUUGAUCCUGGCUCAGGAUGAAUGCUAGCGGCAGGCCUAAUACAUGCAAGUCGAACGCUCAGUAGCAAUACUGGGAGUGGCGCACGGGUGCGUAACGCGUACACAAUCUACCUCUAAGCGGGGGACACCUCCUGGAAACGGGGAUUAAUACCGCAUAAUAUGCCGAGGUCGCAUGACUUUGGUAUUAAAGCAGCAAUGCACUUAGAGAUGAGUGUGCGUCCCAUUAGGUAGUUGGUGAGGUAACGGCUCACCAAGCCUAUGAUGGGUAGCCGGUCUGAGAGGAUGGUCGGCCACACGGGCACUGAGACACGGGCCCGACUCCUACGGGAGGCAGCAGUAAGGAAUAUUGGUCAAUGGUGGAAACACUGAACCAGCCAUGCCGCGUGGAGGAAUAAGGUCCUACGGAUUGUAAACUCCUUUUGACGAGGAAGAAAGUGUUAGAUUUAUCUAAUUUUGACGGUACUCGUAGAAUAAGCACCGGCUAACUCCGUG
Molecule: ribosomal RNA, 496 nt
Filed under: uncultured bacterium
Lineage: Bacteria
Description: bacterial SSU rRNA
Rfam family: Bacterial small subunit ribosomal RNA
Source: RNAcentral